RNAcentral lists this ribosomal RNA (433 nucleotides) under uncultured bacterium. RNAcentral describes it as "partial 16S ribosomal RNA". It matches the Rfam family "Bacterial small subunit ribosomal RNA", at positions 29 to 507 of the family's 1533-position model. The record is from RNAcentral.
AGCGAACGCUGGCGGCAGGCCUAACACAUGCAAGUCGAACGGAUCCUUCGGGAUUAGUGGCGGACGGGUGAGUAACACGUGGGAACGUGCCCUUUGGUUCGGAACAACUCAGGGAAACUUGAGCUAAUACCGGAUGUGCCCUUCGGGGGAAAGAUUUAUCGCCAUUGGAGCGGCCCGCGUCUGAUUAGCUAGUUGGUGAGGUAACGGCCCACCAAGGCGACGAUCAGUAGCUGGUCUGAGAGGAUGAUCAGCCACACUGGGACUGAGACACGGCCCAGACUCCUACGGGAGGCAGCAGUGGGGAAUCUUGCGCAAUGGGCGAAAGCCUGACGCAGCCAUGCCGCGUGAAUGAUGAAGGUCUUAGGAUUGUAAAAUUCUUUCAGCGGGGACGAUAAUGACGGUACCCGCAGAAGAAGCUCCGGCUAACUUCGAG